AUGAGCCGUAUGAGGUAGGAAACUCUCAAGUACGGUUCUAAGGGAAGGAACCACCUAUUCCGAC
Ananas comosus (pineapple) is the source of this 64-nucleotide non-coding RNA. Lineage: Eukaryota; Viridiplantae; Streptophyta; Magnoliopsida; Poales; Bromeliaceae. The record is from Rfam.